This 253-nucleotide ribosomal RNA is filed under the name uncultured bacterium. Its description in RNAcentral is "partial 16S ribosomal RNA". It matches the Rfam family "Bacterial small subunit ribosomal RNA", at positions 524 to 776 of the family's 1533-position model. The record is from RNAcentral.
GACAGAGGGUGCAAACGUUGUUCGGAAUUACUGGGCGUAAAGCGUGCGCAGGCGGUUUGCUAAGACAGGUGUGAAAUCCCCGGGCUUAACCUGGGAACUGCGCUUGUAACUGGCAAGCUUGAGUGUGGCAGAGGGGGGUGGAAUUCCACGUGUAGCAGUGAAAUGCGUAGAGAUGUGGAGGAACACCGAUGGCGAAGGCAGCCCCCUGGGCUAACACUGACGCUCAUGCACGAAAGCGUGGGGAGCAAACAGG